GACAGAGGAUGCAAGCGUUAUCCGGAAUGAUUGGGCGUAAAGCGUCUGUAGGUGGCUUUUUAAGUCUGCCGUUAAAUCCCAGGGCUUAACCCUGGACAGGCGGUGGAAACUACCAAGCUGGAGUACGGUAGGGGCAGAGGGAAUUUCCGGUGGAGCGGUGAAAUGCGUAGAGAUCGGGUGGAACACCAGGGGCGAAGGCGGCCUGCUGGCUCUUGACUGACACUGAGGCGCGAGAGCGUGGGGAGCAAACGGG
RNAcentral lists this ribosomal RNA (253 nucleotides) under uncultured bacterium. RNAcentral's name for it is "partial 16S ribosomal RNA". It matches the Rfam family "Bacterial small subunit ribosomal RNA", at positions 524 to 776 of the family's 1533-position model. The record is from RNAcentral.